UGUUUAAUAUGUAAGUUACGUUUCUACUGAAAAUUAACCAUUUAACUUUUCAUAAAUUUUUCUUUGCUCUUCGUGUUCGGUGCGAUGAAUGUAAAUCACAUUUUUGGCCAAUAGAGGACGUGGUUGUUUCCUAAAUGGAGCGAGAAAAAUAACCACCAAGGACCAGAAUCCUAUUCGCUCAUCUGCGCACGCGCUCAGCCUUCGCAAGGUUCUGACGGAAACGCGCGAAAUUAGUCCGGUGCCUGUGAAAAUUAGAACGUACAGUACAAUAUUCUGUGAUUUGCUUUUGCAAACACGUAUCCUACUAUAUUAUUCGCGUGUCGCUAAUGUUAAAGCUACUGUGGUGUUCACUUAAAUUAUUCUAAGUUUGGGAUGUCCGAAUAAACUUGCUGCGAUUCGGAACGCAUUGGAGAAAUUUGGUACAUUGCGGAUAGAAGCUUUAAUCAGGUUUUGGUGGAGUGAUGUGCACAGAUCACACUGCCCAUUCUGCGGGCGCGGCACUGGCAGGACCUGGUGUGUCUUUAACCCUGAAUACUGUGGCUGAAGAACUUUUAAGAGACAUAAAGAAGGCCUAUGAGGAGAGCUCGAAAAUUCCAGAUGAUCUUCUGCUGGCGUUGAAGUUCGUCUUCGGUUCCUCGGCACUCCAGGCCCUGGACCUGGUCGAUCAGUGCUCUGUAACCUGCCUCUCCUCGCCCAGCGGCCGCAAGGUGUUUCAGGUGCUCGGGGGCUCUGGAAGAGUGUACAUCUGCCUUGCUUCAUGCCACUACUGCCCUUGUCCGGCAUUCGCCUUCUCUGUGAUGCGGAAGAACAACAGCUUGCUGCCUCUCAACCCGCUUCUCUCUCACAGUGUAAACACAUCUUGGCAGUGCACCUCUGCCAGGCCAUGGGUCUGACCCAGCAGGAGUCCGUGUCUGACCGGCAGAUGUCCGAAAUUCUCUCUGGGAGACUGGGAAACGGAACGUAGCCUCUGUGGGCUUGGUGGCAUUUGGAUGGUCGAGCCUGAGAGCUGCUUCCUGAGAUGGCUAUGAAGUGAAGCAAUGCAGGAAGUGACUGCAGCCAACCCGACACACACGCCCACAGCCACGUGACGGUGCCUUCACUGGCAAUUACAGCUUUAUUUCCCUGUUGUUAUUAAUCGCUCAUACCUACAGCAGUGUCUGAGUCUGGGGAAAACAGAUACAAUCACUUUUCGAAAUACAGACACUUUUCUUUGAUGAGGUUACUUAAGUGCUUUCCUUCUGAUCAGAUACUGAACACCUUUUAAAGAAAUGUUACUUUUAUUAAAAAAAAAAAAACAAUUCUCUUACAGAUUUACAGUUACAGUAAGUUUGUACUGGUCAUAUAAUUUACCUAGCACAGCCCUAAGUAAAGGAAACCUGCCAUCAGAUGACAGAUGUUAACAUGUUAGAGAGAGAUUUUAUAGGUUAUGACCCUGCAAAAGUUGGUGGAGUUAAGCUUGUUCUUUAGUUAGAGAAUCCCUUAAAAGAUCAAGGUUUUCCUGAUCCUGUCCCUUUUAGCCCUUAAAGUCCCCAGUUUCAGGUAGGCUGUUUUGAAAGGAAAGCAUAUCUGUCAUUUUGACUUUGAAAUAUUAAUACUGGAUAUAUUUAAGAAGUAGUCUGAGAGGAAGACCAUACAAUGAUAUAAAUCUGAUAAAUCCUGAAUCUACAGAUAUGAGUGAUGUGGUUUACGAUCUGAAUAAAACUGAAAGUAUGAUGUCUAAAAGGAACUAGAUGCGGAUAUCAUAGUGUAGACAUGAUUUGUCAGUAAGCUGUUCUAUGUAUUUGUGAGUAAACUGACAAUCCUGUGAGUCAGAUCACCAGGUAUUCAUCUUUCAACUGACCCUCUUUGGGCUCUCCUUUUCAGUCAGUGCUGCUCGUCAUUACUGGUUUCUGCUGCCGUGUUCAUUUCUGCACCACACCAAUGAGUUACGACACGUCUUGGGGGUGAGAGUCAGCAGGUCGGAACCUAACAAAGGGAGCCUGGGCCUAAAAUGUAGACCCAGCCUAGAAACCCAGUCAACUUAAUGAUUGCAUUUGAAUAUGUCGUUGGGUCACAUUUCUCGAUUAAUGCCAGCAUUCAUGUUUGAAGGUACGGUUGAUGUGACAGGAAGCUGAAGAGGAUGUGAAACAGGCUGGCUGUGCUGAGAGCCGGAGCUCCACCACCUGUGGUAUCUUCCACAGAAACCUAGGCAAUGUAAAUUAUUUUCUCAUACUUAGCAGAUUACUGCAUGGGUUCUACUGCGUGUGUUUAUGUGGGGUUCAGCACUGAAAACAGAUAUGAUCUCAUCAAAAAAAGUCCAUUGUGGAAAGUCUGAGCCAGUUUUCCAGUAACAUGGUGACGACUAGAUUCACAUUUGGCUAAAGUUAAUUACAUCUUCAAUGUACCCUGUCUUCACAGGGAGAACGUGUAGGUAAUACUAAGGUAUAAUUUAUUACUUUUGAAACAUCUUCCAUAGAAUAUUACAAAAGAGAUUAAGUAUGAUUCACAUUAUCGCGUCACCGAAGAUACAGGUAAAUGGUUCGAUUUCUUUUGUGAUUCUGUCCACUCCUUAUUCUGUGGUUUUCCUGAGGUUACUAAAUAAACACUGAAACUGCAGAGAGAGCAGUUCCUUAGAACAGUUCUUGACCUCUUUCAUAACACAUUGACACAAUUAAUUGUAGUCUGGCGACAAAGCGAUUCUCUUACGACCAGCUUCAGCACUAUUGCACAUUUUGGACUUGCUGAUGUCAGCACAGGGCUUCUCUACAGGAGUCAGUGGGUAGAUCAUGUUUUGUUCAACAAAAGUUAAUCUUUGUCAAAGUCCAUGUGUGCUGCCUGACGAGGUUUGACAGUUCUAUGCAUCUUUUCCUAGCUAAUCCAAUAAAUAAUCCAUGGUGAAAUGUGCCCAAUAACUGCAUUAAAGAAGGAAAGCUAAAAAAAAAAAUGGAAAA
RNA transcript from Brienomyrus brachyistius, 2930 nucleotides. It is a transcript of the gene named zinc finger, SWIM-type containing 7, with no coding region annotated. NCBI's taxonomy places the organism in Eukaryota, Metazoa, Chordata, Actinopteri, Osteoglossiformes, Mormyridae. The transcript has 6 exons. The record is from RefSeq and is a predicted model, not a curated record.